GGCCGUCGUUAAGUCAGAUGUGAAAGACCCGGGGCGUUAACCUCGGAAUUGCAUUUGUAAACUAGGCAGGCUAGAGUCUUGUAGAGGGGGGUAGGAAGUUUCAGGUGUAGCGGUGAAAUGCGUAGAGAUCUGAAGGAAUACCAGUGGCGAAGGCGGCCCCCCUCGGACAAAGACUGACGCUCAGAUGCGAAAGCGUGGGGAGCAAACAGGAUUAGAUACCCCUGGUAG
Molecule: ribosomal RNA, 228 nt
Filed under: uncultured bacterium
Lineage: Bacteria
Description: partial 16S ribosomal RNA
Rfam family: Bacterial small subunit ribosomal RNA
Source: RNAcentral